This 253-nucleotide ribosomal RNA is filed under the name uncultured bacterium. RNAcentral describes it as "partial 16S ribosomal RNA". It matches the Rfam family "Bacterial small subunit ribosomal RNA", at positions 524 to 776 of the family's 1533-position model. The record is from RNAcentral.
UACGUAGGGUGCAAGCGUUGUCCGGAAUUAUUGGGCGUAAAGAGCUCGUAGGCGGUUUGUCGCGUCUGCUGUGAAAACGCGAGGCUCAACCUCGCGCCUGCAGUGGGUACGGGCAGACUAGAGUGCGGUAGGGGAGAUUGGAAUUCCUGGUGUAGCGGUGGAAUGCGCAGAUAUCAGGAGGAACACCGGUGGCGAAGGCGGGUCUCUGGGCCGAUACUGACGCUGAGGAGCGAAAGCGUGGGGAGCGAACAGG